Polypterus senegalus (gray bichir) is the source of this 747-nucleotide long non-coding RNA. RefSeq lists it as uncharacterized. The record is from RefSeq and is a predicted model, not a curated record. NCBI's taxonomy places the organism in Eukaryota, Metazoa, Chordata, Cladistia, Polypteriformes, Polypteridae. The transcript has 4 exons.
AACAUGAUGCUUUCUGCUGCACAUGCCUUAAAAAGGAAAUGAAUUGAUGUUUUAUACACAACAUGACUUAAGGCUUUCUACAGGGCGAAUUUGUUGUCUUUUACACAGAGAAGAUUGAUUUCUGGCAAAAGCAUGACACUGAGUGUAUGCAGAGCUGCAAGGAGGAAGGAUAUGCAUGGACUUUGAAUCCAUGGUAUAGUACAGAGAACACACCACGGACUCGUCAUUCAAUAGGCAAAGAGGUUACAUGAUGUCUGGAUAUAUGAGACAUGCUUAGAAUGAGUGUACCGAUCUAAAUAAUGCAACAAAAAAGACAAUCAUUCUCAGAAGGCAGUCUCCCACUUGUAUUGUAUUUGACUACUCCUCGGCAUUGUUGUGACCAUCCACUGCCACAUUCACUGACUACUGUGGAGUUAUGAAUAUUCUUCAAAAGGUAAGGAUUAUAUUAGCUGCAACCCUAAAAAUCCCAUCCCUCACUCUAUCUUACUACCAGUCUAUUUACCCCAAAGCGGAGGAGAGCCUGUACUUAUACUGCAAACACAGGGAGCAAGGCAGAACGCACCCUGGGCAUGGGGUUAGUCCAUCACAAGACACAUAUUCAGAAUAAUGCAGUUCAAUAAAAACAAAAACCAAGCAAAACAAAAAUCUUGACUAUCCUAUUUAAAACAUUAAUGAAUAAUCUGGUUGAUUAAACUUUUUAAAAAGAACAGUCUGUAUUUGUAAUCUGAAUUUUAAAUCACAUAUUAA